This is a long non-coding RNA of Dromaius novaehollandiae (emu), 1703 nucleotides long. RefSeq lists it as uncharacterized. The transcript is spliced from 2 exons. The record is from RefSeq and is a predicted model, not a curated record. Lineage: Eukaryota; Metazoa; Chordata; Aves; Casuariiformes; Dromaiidae.
CCUGUCUAACGUAGAGGCUGGAACAGGGGUGGGGAGGGGGCUGGCCCCAAGAGGGAGGUGAGAAAAAGGCUGAGGCGGAGUUGGGAACAAAGCCCAGAGGGGAUCGGCGAUCGUUGGCCCGGGGCGUGUGUGAACAGGGCGGGGGGAACACGGGCAAUGGCCGGAAGAAAGGGCCGGGGGAGGCGCGGGAAGGCGCUGCCCCACAAACAACGGAGCGCAGGAAGGAAACUCCAGGCGUCCGCAAAGGAAAGGGGGGAGGGGAAGGGGGAGCCUGGCGGCAGGAGGCCCAGGAAGCCUCCAGAAAUCAGUGCAGCACAGAGGACGGCGGCGGCACCAGAGCAGGGGGCGGCGGGGCUGGGCCGAGAAUUUGGAGUCCGUGUUUGGGCUGGGUCGUCCUCUCCUCGGCCGAAGAGCCGUGUAAACACUCCUGCUUGCCUGCUGCUUUCCCAGACUUGGCGACACAGACGGGAGCCAAGCACCCCCAACAGAUGGCAAGGGCUGCUGGAAGUUCCGCCGCGCCGAGGCGGUGCUGCCCGCGGCCGCGCAGCCCCGGCAGCCACAGGCGGCGGCAGGAGCGCGGCUUCUGUUGAGCCUCCCCCCCCGUCCUGCAGCGCGACGCCUCCCGGCUCAAACCGGGGCAGCGGCUCUUCCUGCGUGCCCGGGCCCUUGGAGCCAGGCACAGCGCACAGGCACAGCCUCUAUCGAGCCUUGAGGGACGUGAUUUCUACCCAGUAUAGUUGAGCCACUACAAAACAAACCAACCACAACAGUGCAAGAGUGGUUAGAACAGUUUAAUUGUAUUAAGAGCAUCCCAGAAAGGAAACGACUCACCUAAAAGCAAAGGAGUGUCCUUUCCAGCUUUUUUUUCCAGUUACUUUUGCAGGCCAAUUUACUAUCGAAGCUGGAAAGUCCAAUAGCAAAGGCCUGGAGAGCACAGAGAGGAUAAUUAUAGUCCAGAGUGAACACAUCUUCUGCUACACGACCAAACUGCAUCACAACGUAGUCAGCUGGGGAGAAAAGAAAGACUCAGAGACUAGCAAUUUCACAUGGAGGCAAAAAGAACUAGGAACAAGCAAACCAAACCAGGAGUCAGUACCAAAUAUACAUGGUUGGUGUAUCUAUCCCUUCUUACCACAUUGGCCUUAAAAUCUGUUCUCUAGAGCGACUGUUGCUAGGAUUACAUUCUUUCACUGAGCCAAGGCUCAAACCACUAUUUGGUUGGGUGGAAGGUGCCAUGUUAAUCCUUUUCUUUCCCUUCAGGAGGCUUGCAUUUGUCCUGUGUUUUGGUGCAGCUCUGGACAGCAGCCUCUGUACCCACACCAGAAAAAGGGUCAUAUCAUUUGUUUGAUAGAUCAGAAGUCCCCAGUAUCCCCUGGGCUGAAUUUCUGCACUCAGUCUCUCUUCUCCAGGAAGGGUGUCCUAACCUCCCAAACUUCACAAAAUACACUGGGAUUUCCCUGUUGUAAUGACAGCCCCACAAGCUCUCCAAGAGACUCUUACGGUCGUUGUCGUGGACAAUCUGGAAGUUCUUCACUGAGGCCUGAGUGACUCUCCCAUGGAAGUUUAAAACAUAGGAUUGAGUAUCAUCAUUCCAGACUGGAGCCUUGUUAUGUAGCUCAAUGAGGUUCUCCAAGUUUUUGUUUUGCCACUUUGAUAGCAGACUCUCAUGCUCCUGUUCAGAAGAAAUAAAUAUGUUUAUCAGA